Molecule: ribosomal RNA, 253 nt
Filed under: uncultured bacterium
Lineage: Bacteria
Description: partial 16S ribosomal RNA
Rfam family: Bacterial small subunit ribosomal RNA
Source: RNAcentral
UACAGAGGUCUCAAGCGUUGUUCGGAUUUAUUGGGCGUAAAGAGCUCGUAGGCGGUUUGUCGCGUCUGCUGUGAAAACUCGGGGCUUAACUCCGGGCCUGCAGUGGGUACGGGCAGACUAGAGUGCGGUAGGGGAGACUGGAAUUCCUGGUGUAGCGGUGAAAUGCGCAGAUAUCAGGAGGAACACCGGUGGCGAAGGCGGGUCUCUGGGCCGUAACUGACGCUGAGGAGCGAAAGCGUGGGGAGCGAACAGG